UACGUAGGGUGCAAGCGUUAAUCGGAAUUACUGGGCGUAAAGCGUGCGCAGGCGGUUUUGUAAGUCUGAUGUGAAAUCCCCGGGCUCGACCUGGGAAUUGCGAUGGAGACUGCAAGGCUUGAAUCUGGCAGAGGGGGGUAGAAUUCCAAGUGUAGCAGUGAAAUGCGUAGAGAUGUGGAGGAACACCGAUGGCGAAGGCAGCCCCCUGGGUCAAGAUUGACGCUCAUGCACGAAAGCGUGGGGAGCAAACAGG
This 253-nucleotide ribosomal RNA is filed under the name uncultured bacterium. Its description in RNAcentral is "partial 16S ribosomal RNA". It matches the Rfam family "Bacterial small subunit ribosomal RNA", at positions 524 to 776 of the family's 1533-position model. The record is from RNAcentral.